RNAcentral lists this ribosomal RNA (394 nucleotides) under uncultured Polaribacter sp. RNAcentral describes it as "bacterial SSU rRNA". It matches the Rfam family "Bacterial small subunit ribosomal RNA", at positions 104 to 496 of the family's 1533-position model. The record is from RNAcentral. Lineage: Bacteria; Pseudomonadati; Bacteroidota; Flavobacteriia; Flavobacteriales; Flavobacteriaceae.
GGGUGCGUAACGCGUAUAGAACCUACCUUUUACAGAGGAAUAGCCUUUAGAAAUGAAGAUUAAUGCCUCAUAGUAUUGUAGACUGGCAUCAGUUUAUAAUUAAAGAUUUAUCGGUAAAAGAUGGCUAUGCGUCCUAUUAGUUAGUUGGUAAGGUAACGGCUUACCAAGACAGCGAUAGGUAGGGGUCCUGAGAGGGAGAUCCCCCACACUGGUACUGAGACACGGACCAGACUCCUACGGGAGGCAGCAGUGAGGAAUAUUGGACAAUGGAGGAGACUCUGAUCCAGCCAUGCCGCGUGUAGGAAGAAUGCCCUAUGGGUUGUAAACUACUUUUAUACAGGAAGAAACACUGGUAUGUAUACCAGCUUGACGGUACUGUAAGAAUAAGGACCGG